CGCUAUACUAAACAAUAAGGUUUUCUCCAGAAAGGAAACCUGUUACUGGAACACACACCUUUAGAAUGUAUCCUCCUUGUGUUCGAAUCCUCACACCUUACAUUAAUCUAGAUGGAACCAAGAGUGUUGAAGAUCAUAGCUCCUAGAAGACUGUAGAAAAGUUCAUUUACCUUCCCUCUCUGCAACUAGUCGACAUUGAAUGGCGAAUGGCGAUUUUCAUGGUCCAGUCACAAAGUACUGCAAUAUGUAACAGGAGGAGAUGUUCAACUACAACAUCUCGUUGCAGGCGCAACAAUCCGGAAAUCUGGAGCAUUCUGAUUUAAGCAUCGAAGAGAGCGGCAUUGCGAUCCCCUCCCGAUUCUCCCCUUUUGCAGGUGAUAUGUCACAUGUACAAUCAUUUUAAUUGGGGAUCAUCUUCACCGUACAGUCAUCAUAGUUCGGGUUCAUCUUCGUUGCUAUGUCACAAAUACCUUGU
Molecule: non-coding RNA, 475 nt
Organism: Punica granatum (pomegranate)
Lineage: Eukaryota; Viridiplantae; Streptophyta; Magnoliopsida; Myrtales; Lythraceae
Source: RefSeq, a predicted model, not a curated record